Long non-coding RNA from Vigna radiata var. radiata (mung bean), 1093 nucleotides. RefSeq lists it as uncharacterized. NCBI's taxonomy places the organism in Eukaryota, Viridiplantae, Streptophyta, Magnoliopsida, Fabales, Fabaceae. The record is from RefSeq and is a predicted model, not a curated record. The transcript has 5 exons.
UUGAAUUAUUUUUCUCUCUUACACAGCUCGAGCACUGCAACCUUAGUUCUCUCCCGCUCCCUCAUUCUUACCCAUUUCACUCACUGCCUCUCUCUCGAGCACUUCAACCCUCGUUCUCUCUCGCUCCUUUAUACUGUCUCACUCUCUCGCUCAGUGGGCUCAUUCUUGCACUCACUCCAUGUCCAUCUCUUUCACUCUUACACAGUUCACCAUUGUCUUCUUCUUCGCACUCCAUUAACUCCUUCGUCACCAUUGUCUCGGACUGACUUACAAAGAAAAGCGGUUCCAACGUGAUGAGCAUGGUUACAAAUCAUUUUUGGACAUUUUAAACAUGUAUUGCAAAUAACACAAGGACAUCAGUGAGGUUUAUAGUGAGGUUGCUACCCUAUUCAAGGACCAUGGAGAUUUGCUUGAGGAUUUCACUAGAUUCUAACAGUAUACUUCUGCAGCACUUUAAUGAGCAAAGUUCCACAACUUCAAUGAUGUGCCAAAUUCCACCUGACAGGGUAGUAAGAUUUGUUGUUAUACCACUUAUAUAUGGAUCUUGUAAACUGCCUUUUUUAAUGAUUGGGUUUUGAACAUUUUUCUACAGUAACGUUAUUUAUAGAGAAGGCUGAAGGUUUUGGAAUGGCUUCCCACUUUCCUUCUUAUGAAGACAAAGACACCUCAAAGAAAAAAGGAGGAAUUCAGAUUUGACAAAACAUUGAAAUUGAAUAGAGUAAAACUAUUUAAAUAACACUUGUGGUGAUUGAAACUGACUAAUAAGAAAAAGAACGGUGACAGCAGUUAAACUGCAGUGGAGGUUUCAUUUAAUUUGCUUGAGAAGUACUUUGGAAGCACACUCAAAGGGGCCUCCAUGUGGGAAAAUGAGCUCCUAGAUGUAGGCUACCAGUCUCUAUGCAUCCAGAUUCCCUACACAGUAAGAGCUCUUAAUUUUGAACUAAGAACCCCAGCCUCACAUUUUGUUUCCUUAGUUGGUAUAAGGCAUACUCCUUGCAUAUUAUUUUCUACGUUAGUCAUGUACUCUUUGUGUGAGAUGGCUUACUCCAAGUAACAUUUAUUUUUAUACUUCUUGAUACANUUGAUAAGGAUA